GGUUAAGUGACUAAGCGUACACGGUGGAUGCCUGGGCAGUCAGAGGCGAUGAAGGACGUACUAACUUGCGAUAAGCGCAGAUAAGGCAGUAAGAGCCGUUUGAGUCUGCGAUUUCCGAAUGGGGAAACCCAACUGCAUAAGCAGUUACUGUUAACUGAAUACAUAGGUUAACAGAGCAAACCGGGGGAACUGAAACAUCUAAGUACCCCGAGGAGAAGAAAUCAACCGAGAUUCCGGUAGUAGCGGCGAGCGAACCUGGAUUAGCCCUUAAGCACUCGGUGAAGUAGGUGAACAAGCUGGAAAGCUUGGCGAUACAGGGUGAUAGCCCCGUAACCGACGCUUCAUCGAGCGUGAAAUCGAGUAGGGCGGGACACGUGAUAUCCUGUCUGAAUAUGGGGGGACCAUCCUCCAAGGCUAAAUACUCCUGACUGACCGAUAGUGAACCAGUACCGUGAGGGAAAGGCGAAAAGAACCCCUGUGAGGGGAGUGAAAUAGAACCUGAAACCGUGUACGUACAAGCAGUAGGAGCACCUUCGUGGUGUGACUGCGUACCUUUUGUAUAAUGGGUCAGCGACUUAUAUUCAGUGGCAAGGUUAACCGUAUAGGGGAGCCGUAGCGAAAGCGAGUCUUAACUGGGCGCUCAGUCUCUGGAUAUAGACCCGAAACCGGGUGAUCUAGCCAUGGGCAGGUUGAAGGUUGAGUAACAUCAACUGGAGGACCGAACCGACUAAUGUUGAAAAAUUAGCGGAUGACUUGUGGCUAGGGGUGAAAGGCCAAUCAAACUCGGAGAUAGCUGGUUCUCCCCGAAAGCUAUUUAGGUAGCGCCUCGGACGAAUACUACUGGGGGUAGAGCACUGUUAAGGCUAGGGGGUCAUCCCGACUUACCAACCCUUUGCAAACUCCGAAUACCAGUAAGUACUAUCCGGGAGACACACGGCGGGUGCUAACGUCCGUCGUGGAGAGGGAAACAACCCAGACCGCCAGCUAAGGUCCCAAAGUAUUGCUAAGUGGGAAACGAUGUGGGAAGGCUCAGACAGCUAGGAUGUUGGCUUAGAAGCAGCCAUCAUUUAAAGAAAGCGUAAUAGCUCACUAGUCGAGUCGGCCUGCGCGGAAGAUGUAACGGGGCUAAGCAAUACACCGAAGCUGCGGCAAUAUCUUUUAGAUAUUGGGUAGGGGAGCGUUCUGUAAGCCGUUGAAGGUGAAUCGUAAGGUUUGCUGGAGGUAUCAGAAGUGCGAAUGCUGACAUGAGUAACGACAAAGGGGGUGAAAAACCUCCUCGCCGGAAGACCAAGGGUUCCUGUCCAACGUUAAUCGGGGCAGGGUGAGUCGACCCCUAAGGUGAGGCCGAAAGGCGUAAUCGAUGGGAAACGGGUUAAUAUUCCCGUACUUCUGACUAUUGCGAUGGGGGGACGGAGAAGGCUAGGUGGGCCAGGCGACGGUUGUCCUGGUUCAAGUGCGUAGGCUUGAGAGUUAGGUAAAUCCGGCUCUCUCUAAGGCUGAGACACGACGUCGAGCUGCUACGGCAGUGAAGUCAUUGAUGCCAUGCUUCCAGGAAAAGCCUCUAAGCUUCAGAUAGUCAGGAAUCGUACCCCAAACCGACACAGGUGGUCGGGUAGAGAAUACCAAGGCGCUUGAGAGAACUCGGGUGAAGGAACUAGGCAAAAUGGUACCGUAACUUCGGGAGAAGGUACGCUCUUGAUGGUGAAGUCCCUCGCGGAUGGAGCUGACGAGAGUCGCAGAUACCAGGUGGCUGCAACUGUUUAUUAAAAACACAGCACUGUGCAAAAUCGCAAGAUGACGUAUACGGUGUGACGCCUGCCCGGUGCCGGAAGGUUAAUUGAUGGGGUUAGCGCAAGCGAAGCUCUUGAUCGAAGCCCCGGUAAACGGCGGCCGUAACUAUAACGGUCCUAAGGUAGCGAAAUUCCUUGUCGGGUAAGUUCCGACCUGCACGAAUGGCGUAAUGAUGGCCACGCUGUCUCCACCCGAGACUCAGUGAAAUUGAAAUCGCUGUGAAGAUGCAGUGUACCCGCGGCUAGACGGAAAGACCCCGUGAACCUUUACUACAGCUUGGCACUGAACAUUGAACCUACAUG
Molecule: ribosomal RNA, 2093 nt
Filed under: Vibrio cholerae
Lineage: Bacteria; Pseudomonadati; Pseudomonadota; Gammaproteobacteria; Vibrionales; Vibrionaceae
Description: partial 23S ribosomal RNA
Rfam family: Bacterial large subunit ribosomal RNA
Source: RNAcentral